This 73-nucleotide microRNA precursor is filed under the name Ovis aries (sheep). Its description in RNAcentral is "miRNA (ENSOARG00000023673.1)". The record is from RNAcentral. Lineage: Eukaryota; Metazoa; Chordata; Mammalia; Artiodactyla; Bovidae.
UGGCCAAAAAGUUUGUUUGGGUUUUUCCAUGUUACAGAAAAGCCCAAAUGAACUUUUUGGCCAACUCAAUAUU